This is a long non-coding RNA of Aethalodelphis obliquidens (Pacific white-sided dolphin), 2813 nucleotides long. RefSeq lists it as uncharacterized. The transcript has 11 exons. NCBI's taxonomy places the organism in Eukaryota, Metazoa, Chordata, Mammalia, Artiodactyla, Delphinidae. The record is from RefSeq and is a predicted model, not a curated record.
CUGAAGUCAUGUACAGAGCCUUCACAAUUAAUAUUGGAAACUGUCUAACAAGUUGUACAAUUUGGUUUAAUGGGAUGUCUGAUGAGUAACACAUGGUUGUUUGUCAACUAAAAAUAUGUUGAAGACCUUUCAGCAAACCAGGGGAGACAUCUCUUGUGUCACAUCUCACAAACAGCUGCGCCCUGCCCUGGGUACACAUAAUUGCUGAAACUGAUUGGGGAGGGCUGGAAGCGUUGAUGCUGUCGUAUUAAUUUGCUCCAUAAAUCAACACAUGAACUUGACAGCCCUUUAAAAUCUUUAUCAUCGUGCAUUUAUCUUUUCUGUUCUGAAGGAGCUGUAUCUGACUUCGAUCCAAAGCAACUUAUAUUCAUUAAACAAAUAUUUAUUGAGCAUUGACAGGUGAUGAAGAUUAGUAUUGGCAGGGUCUGGGACCGUCUUCAAGAAGCUCACAGUUUCACGGGGAAAUAGACAUAUAAGCAAAAAAUUGCAACUUAGUGUGAUCAGGGCGGUGAUAGGCAUCGAGGUAGUGUUGCUGCAAAGAUUCAUUCAUUCUUCAUUCAUUCAUUUAUUCAUUCCACAAAGACUAAGACCUGCUAAGAUAGAGGUGUGGCCUCUGCAGACACAGGACACAGUGCCUACUUCAGAGAGCUCAGUCUAGGAGCAAGAAACAGACAUACAAAUGGAUUAUAAACAAAUAUAAGCUAUCGCAAUCUGUAGCGGGUAUGGUGGGGCAGGCCAGAGCAGGGAAAGGUCAUCUCAUGUCGGGGAAUCAGGGAAGACUUAAUAGGUGAAGUGGUGCUUGAGGUAAGUCUUGAAAGAUGGGCAAGUGUUUAUAUCCUGGGUGGGUGAGGAAAAAAAAUCAGUGAUGGGAGUGGCAUGUGCAAAGGCCCUUUUUUGUGGGGGUGGGCAGUGCAGAGAGAACAGAUUGUUCAGGACCAGGAAGUAGUGUGGCAUGGACUGAGCAUGGUGUGAGGCGGCUGUGGUGAGAGGGGCGGCCAGAGGAUCAAGUGCAGGUCACAUCAUGAACGGUCUUAAACGCCCAGCCAGGGAGCCUAAUGUUUUCCCCACACCUCAUUCACAGUCAAGUCCCAGCCUUGUUCUUCCUUCCUCGCAUGAUAUGGGAACAUAUAUGUAUAUGUAUAAGUGAUUCACUUUGUUAUAAAGCAGAAACUAAUACACCAUUGUAAAGCAAUUAUACUCCAAUAAAGAUGUUAAAAAAUAAUAAUAACAAUGAUGUUUCUAUAACCAAGGUUUAGAAAUGUGAUUUCUGAGACUCCCUAGCUCUGUCCCUUUAAUUUCUUCCCUAUUAAGGAAACUAAAAUAAAUUAUCUAUAAAGAUUGUGUAAAAAAAAAAAAAAAAGAAAUGUCAGCUCUGAUUGUUUAUGUGAUGUAAAACACAGUGCAAAGUCUCAGGCUUGAGAAUACCAUGCAUGUGAAAUAGGAAGCUUUGGAUUAAGUUUGGUUGCCUGUUUAUGAGGUUUUUGGCUUGCUUAUCUGUUCACUUUUUUAACAGACCCCACCUUAGAACUAGAGAAUCAAUCUGAAUAUUAACAAGACCUUCCCUCCUCCCCCCACCAGGUGAUUCAAUGCUGAAUUAACUAUGAGGAGUGUUGGUCCCCCAAAAGAGCCAGGAAAUCAGGAGAGCGUUGUUUUAUGGAAACCAAGUCAGGAGAGUUUCAGUAGGAGGAGAAACCAGCAGCAUCAGACGAGGGAAGCAGUCACAGAAUCAGGACCAAAGCUCAUCAGCCUUGGCAUUGAGAAGGUUUAUUGGUGCGCUCCCGUCUAAUUGACUAUCAAGGUGAGGAGACAGAGACACAGAGCGAUUGAUGGACUUGCCCAAGGUCACCACAGCAAGUGAAGGGGAAAACAGAGAGGAGAAGCUGAGGCACGGAGGGAAGAAGCGGCUUGAUCCAGGAGCCACAACAGGUCAUUGCCGGAGGCUGGGCUGUGAAGGGGUCCAAGGUCAAGUGAGAGAGACCCACCAUGGACAUACCAGAGAUACCAGUUGCCAUGGAAUGGCUGACCUGCACAAACGCAUCCCAGGAACCCUGAUGACCUCAUUGCUUCUUGGGCCCAGAGCUGAUUCCUAUAAUAAAGAACCUCCACAUCCCUCUGAAUUUCUUCACAGUAAGCAGUUUUAUAACAAACCAGGCCCUGGUUUCGGCAUACGCUGGGCCAGGUGAGGUGAGGCUCUCCUGUGGACUUGUUCUGGGGAAUCAUCGUGUUGAAAUCACACCCUCAGAUGGCUACUGUGAGUCAGCCCUCAAUUUAAAGAAACCCAUCAGGAGUAUAACAGCAAAGUUGGUGUGGUUCAGACUUUGACGUCUCCUUUUUCACCAAGACUUUUUGGCAGAACGUGGGAGGAAAUCGAGCCCCCAGGGAGUUGCCCUGGAAAUUAGAUUCAAGAGACAUGUUCAAACCAAUUUUCAGUCUAUAAUUUAUAUGAAGAAGCUGCUCUUCCCAGGAACAAGGAGGCUCUUGUUGCCCCACCAGGGCUUUGACUUUCUGCGCUGAAUAACCAGGAACCCACUUUCCGGGUGUGCCUGGAUAAGAACAUUGGGUAAUGGAUGGUGUCAAGGAUGUUUCACAACAGCCGCUCAGGUGGCCUGUGAACCAAACCACCCACUUACUGGCGAUGCUGUUUAUGGACCAGUUUGCUAAUGUCUCUCAGAUCCAGUGACCCUCCGCCUGGAUGUUGCAGAUUUUUUAAGAAAAGCCAGUGGGUUCCCAGGCAAAGAUAAAAAGGGAAGAUGCCGCCCCCUGCUGACCCACCCUCCCUUGUCUGGAGAACUAUCUGUAUGUACUGCGUAUUA